CGAAGGUUUGGUCCUGACUACGCUGUCGAUUUUGACUAAAUUUACACAUGCAAGUAUCCGCGAUCUCGUGAAGUUUAUAUUAGCCAUCUUAUUGAUUCUAAAAAAUGAUAUCAGGCACAAAAAUUAGCCCAUGACAUCAGGCUUAGCCACACCCCCAAGGGAACUCAGCAGUGAAAGAUAUUAAGCCAUAAGCAAAAGCUUGACUUAGUUAUAGUCUUUAGGGCCGGUAAAACUCGUGCCAGCCACCGCGGUUAUACGAGAGGCUCAAACUGACAGCAAGCGGCGUAAAGCGUGUUUUAAGAAACAAUAAACUAAAGUGGAACUCAUUCAAGACUGUUAUACGUUUUUGAAGGGAGGAAAACCUUUUACGAAAGUAACUUUAAAUGCCUUGAACACACGAAAGCUGCGGAACAAACUGGGAUUAGAUACCCCACUAUGCACAGCCUUAAACUUUAAUAUAAUGUCACACAUAUAUUCGCCAGGGUAUUACAAGCAUAAGCUUAAAACUCAAAGGACUUGGCGGUGCUUUAGUCCCACCUAGAGGAGCCUGUUCUAUAACCGACAACCCCCGUUAAACCCCACCUUAUCUUGCAUUUCCGCCUAUAUACCACCGCCGUCAGCUAACCCUGUGAGGGACAACAAGUAAGCAAGACUGAUAUAAUCCAAAACGUCAGGUCGAGGUGUAGCAUACGAUAAGGUAAGAAAUGGGCUACAUUUCCUGCCGCAGGAAAUACGGACACCAUUAUGAAAAUAAGCAUUGAAGGAGGAUUUAGCAGUAAGUGGGGAAUAGAGAGCCCUACUGAAGCUGGCCCUGAAGCACGCACAUACCGCCCGUCAAUCUCCCUGACUCAGAGCAUUUAAUACUUAAUACCACAUCAUAAGAAAAGGGAGGAAAGUCGUAACAUGGUAAGUUUACCGGAAGGUGAACUUGGUUAAAC
RNAcentral lists this non-coding RNA (938 nucleotides) under Pronothobranchius seymouri. Its description in RNAcentral is "12S ribosomal RNA". It matches the Rfam family "Bacterial small subunit ribosomal RNA". Lineage: Eukaryota; Metazoa; Chordata; Actinopteri; Cyprinodontiformes; Nothobranchiidae. The record is from RNAcentral.